Molecule: non-coding RNA, 111 nt
Organism: Acanthosepion pharaonis
Lineage: Eukaryota; Metazoa; Mollusca; Cephalopoda; Sepiida; Sepiidae
Source: the annotation of a GenBank genome assembly
UCCGGCCAUAUCAAGUUGAAACCAGUUUCCGUACGAUCAGCGAAGUUAAGCAUUGUCGAGCCUGAUCAGUACCUAGAUGGGUGACCGCUUGGGGAUACCAGUUGCUGUAAG